This is an RNA transcript of Corythoichthys intestinalis (scribbled pipefish), 6443 nucleotides long. It is a transcript of the gene named extracellular sulfatase Sulf-2-like, with no coding region annotated. The record is from RefSeq and is a predicted model, not a curated record. Lineage: Eukaryota; Metazoa; Chordata; Actinopteri; Syngnathiformes; Syngnathidae. The transcript is spliced from 13 exons.
GCCUGAUUUCCGCCUGGAAACAUAGUAUAACCAAGCCUGACCCUCUGUAUAUGUUUUGUAAACAUUAUGCGCGGGGUCUGUUAGAGAUUAAAAUGUAAAAAAAAAAAAAAUUGAGUUGACAACAUAUUUACCAUGCAUGUUAUAUCAGCUCACCAAAGGAUGAUGACGUUGAUGAGUUUCAACUGAUGUCUGCUGAAGUCUAGCCUCAAACCUCCCAUCAGAUUAUCUGAGGAUGACAACGAGGAAGAGGAAGGUGACCUCUUGAAUAUUAAUUAUAAUGAUUCAUAUUUAACAGUAAUGUUUAAAAAUAAUGUUAUUUUUAUUUAUUUAUUUUUUAGAAUAAUAAACAACAGCCUUUUUACUUACCAUAAUUGUUUAUCAAAUUAAUCUUCCUGGAUUUUGCUUAACAUAAAUGGGCUUCAUGUUUUUUGAUUAAAAAAUAUCUUUGUCGACUUCACUUACACGCACCCCCCCCCCCCCCCCCCCACACACACAAAUAAUUCAACAUAAAGUGAAGGCAGUCUUUUUUGACCUGAUUUAUCUAAAUUUUGAUUGCAAAGCCUAAUUUGUAUGAUGUACAUUGCUUGUACACUGUGCUGCGACCCAUUUUUCAAACUUGUUUUUUUUUUUAAGCUAGAUAACUUUGUGGACAGAAAAGAGUUUGCAACAUGCCUUGAUAUUUUAUCUUUUGCUGACACAAACUCAAAAGAGUGACCUUAUUUCCAGUUUAAAAACAUGGAUCUCUUGGUUCUUCCAUUGUUGUUUGUGUUGCUGGUUCCAUUGAUAUGGACACGUGAGUAGUCCACGUGCUGUGACUUGGCGCAUUUGACAUCGAUCAAAAUAGACAGCAUCCUGUAAUGCAUCACCGUUAAAGAUUUAAAUGCUGCAGUUUCCUUUAUUUCAUGUUGUAUGUUGUUUGUAGUGGACACUAAUAAGGAGUAGUGUGAUAUAAAUUUGAUCAUCACCUGUAUUUAAAUAUUAGUUAACAAUUAGUUGUGUUGCAUGUCCAUGCGUGAGUGAUCACUGUGACUGAAGAAUGUGGUCUUCGUUCACCUGUUGUCCAAUCUCAUUUGCUUCUGUAAUCCAACAGUGGUGACCAGGGGUGAAAGUGGGCCAGAACGGUCAGGAACGCAGUUCCGGAAUAAGAUUCAGGACCAGAACGCAGUUCCGGUGUAAGAUUCAGGGCCGGAAUGCUGUUCCGGUAUAAGAUUCAGAGCCGGAAUGCUGUCCGGUACACGGUGCUUUGAUUCCGAAAAAUAUGACGGCAACUGUCAAAACGCUAUGUAAAAAAAAAAAAAAAAAGGUUGUUGAAUAAAUGCGACAAAAAGGGCAAUGUAACAUACAGUAUAUGGAUCAAAUCUUUAAGAGGAACGAAAGAGUUGAGGAGGUUUAUUUUUUCAUAUUUAGUUUUAUUUGCUCUGAUGGGGAGGUUCAGAACAUCUUAGCUGUCAAUAUGCACUUUGGACUUAUAUUUGUUCAUUUAUGUUAGGCUACUUAUUCCUUUCCUUAUGAUUUAAAAAAGUCUAUGUUUGUGUGAUCUUCAAAAUAUAUUCCAUUUCACUCUGCAUAAUAUACAGUAAGUCAUUUGUACUUAUUUUUCUGAAUGUAUGUUACUUAUAUCUUUAUUAUUUAAAAAAAAAAAAAAAAGUAAAUGUUUACAUAAACUUCAAAUGUAUUAUACAUUAUAUAUUUGGCAUGAUUUGGCAUUUAGUAUGUGAGGAAAUGAGGGAAAAUAAAAAUUAGGAGAUGAAGGUUGGGGUUAUUGGUGUUUUUGUUAACUUUUAUUUUGCAAAUCAUUGAAAAAAUACAAUUUUGAAUGAAAAUCAGUCUUUGUAUGUGUUAUAGAAAAAAAAAAUGUGCUAAAACAGUUUUCUUUGCAUUUCAGUAGUUUAAGAGGUUUGACCCACCCCCCAAAAAAUGAAAGAAAAAAAUUAAAUAAAAUACAGUUUCUGACUCCGUUACGACCGUCACGUCAGGGAGUUCCGGCAAGAAAUUCUAGCCACUUUCACCCCUGGUGGUGACUACAACAGUCUAUUCCGAAAUAAAUUACUGUAUUUUAUUGUUAAAUUCUUGUGCAUUCUGCAGGUCCAUGUGGUUAACUAGCAGUAAUUUAUAGUAAAUUUGCAGAGUUAAUGUAGUCCAGGCUAAAUCCUUCUAAGCCCAAAUACCACAGAUAUCAGAAUUUAUUAUGCAAUGUAAACAGUACAGUUCCAUUGUUUUGGUCCUUACGUGACCCAAGUCUUGUUCAGUCAAGUGCUCCACGUUUCAAUCGUUUGAUUUUUGUCAUCGAAAGACAAAAAAUUGUUCAACAAAAAUGACAGGCUUGAAAAACAAAUCAGCACAGAAAAGAACUGCGAGAGGACUGGAGAUACUCUGCUUUGGCUGGAUGUUUUUUCUUGCUGAGAGGCCAUUGCCAAGAUGGGCAAAGCUUGGAGGGACUGCCGACUCGGUUGCAGGCUUUGUUGGGAGACCUCCGAGACAGUUCUAGGACAAAUUCUUGAAAAUACCAGAAAUUCAUACUCAUUAGCAAGGACGUAGGUUUGGUCACAACAUUGGUAGGAACGAAAUAAUGACAUAACCUUUUUACUGGGGAUGGGACAUUUAUAAGACCAAACAGACUGGGUGAACGGGGGUCAGGGCUACAUUUCUCACCAAUGUGAACCGAAUAAAUUUUAGGCUAAAUAAUCAAUGCAAAAUAAAUCUAUAUUGAAUUAUACUAACUUUCAUGUGUAUUGCUUCAGGUGAUACGCCGUUCGAUUCAAAUCUUUGUUUUCAAAAACUACAAAAAAAAAACAAUUUGAAAACUUCCAGAAUAAAUGUCUUGAUUUUAUUAGCAAAUUUAAAUUGAAAUAUUUGAACACAAAUUAUAUUAACAUACACAAUAAAUACAAACUAGUUGAUCAUCAAUUAAUGGCGGUAAUCCUGAGCUCACGACAUUUCUUACAGUUUAAUUAACGUUAACAGUAAAAAACAUACAGGAGGCUAUUUCUCUCAACGCAGCAGAUUAAUGUUAUGUUAACUCUGAUGCAGGUCGGACUUUCAGUAGCAAAAUUAGUGGUGUGUUCCCCACCUCCAAAACAUUGACGUCUUUUUACAUUACUUUAGUGCUGCAACGAUUAAUCUAUUAACUCGAGUAUUCGAUUAGAAAAAAAUAUUCGAAUUAAAUUUUGCUGCAUCGAGUAUUCGUUUAUUUAAAGUGACGUUGUAAUGCUUUAUCUUGAAAGUGUUUGCAUUUAGUUUUAUUGAUUUGGGUGGAUACACUGCCUUCUAGUCCCCCUCAAUUCACAUGGCUGAAUCCAGGUGCUCCCUGCCAAGACCAACAUAAGCUAAAUUUUGUUUAAGCUACUGGUUUCUUUUGCAUUUGCAUUUUUAUGCGUUUGUAAUUUAGUUUAUAGGUAUAUAUAGCCUAUUUUUGUGGGAAUAUGUGUCUGAACCAUUUGUUAAGAGCAUUGUAAAAAAGUUAGCAUUAGCAAGUUAGCACCAAUUUUUCUUUUGUUGUACAUAGAUCAUUUAUUUUUUAUACCGUUUGAGGCUCAGCUCAGGUAAUUAAAUUUUUCAUAUUCUUUAUCCGACUACUCGAUUAUUCGAACUAAUGGUUUAUCGAUUAAUCGACUACUAAAAUAAUCGAUAGCUGCAGCCCUACAUUACUUACAGUGGCUGCUGCUGGUGGAAAAAAACUUCUAAUACUCCUCGUCUUCGAAUGGCGCGGAGGAGGCUGCAUGUGUUAUUUCUGUCGGGCUGUGAAUGCGUGUGUGGGGGAGGGUCAAGUCAUCAGUCAAUCAAACGUGUGUUUGAGGGGAAAAAAUGGACUGGCACAUUCAGCAAGUGAAAAGGGGUCAAUGUAAGUUUGGACAUAAUGAAAGUACUGUAAUUCACUUAAUAAUGGUCAGGUCAUUUCUAUCCUUAUAACAUACAGUAUGUGAAGAAAAUCUAAGUUACCGAUAUAACUGAAGUAAUUAUAUAAUACAAAUAAGGUUGCUUAAAAGUUGGUGGGGACAGUUUGAGCAUCCUGAAAAGUUGGUAGUGUUAUGUCCCUACCGUCCCUAUGCAAACCUAUGCCUUUGCUCACUAGACACACACGUGGGGCCAUACUGACUUCCGUAGACGUUGAACCACAUCUCAUUGUUUUGUACCCAUACAUUCCAGUUGACCUUGUGUCUUUUGCACGUGCGUGACAAGGCGGACGCAUCGUUUUUGUAUUAGGAAUAGCUUUUGUUUUUGUUGUGUGAAUGACUACAUGAAAAAAAAUGGAUUUCACAAAAAAAAAAAAAAAUUGAGCAUCAUGUGUUGCACCAUGGACCAUAAGAGAAGUAGUCCUUUUGGUUUCAGUAACACGUAUACUUUGUAAUGCUUUAUCGCUGUUAAGUAAGUAAGUGUGCACAACAUUUUAAGCAAAGUAAAUGGAGUACAUGCAUAAUACUGUUUAUGGAAUAACGAGACAGACAGAUAGAAAUUGAGUGUGUGUGAGUGUGUGCAUUUUCACUGUUGUGUCAGUAGAAUUUUGUUCUUUACACUGGCCCCUCCUCUGUCCAGUCAGCCAUAAUGAUGUCCGAUCCUCCCCGUAGGCCGCCAGAGAGGCCAGGUACCGCCUUCUCCUGCCCCCCCAUUCCCAUUCUCUCUCUCUCUAAGACAGCUAGAGAAGGAGAGUGAAAGUGAAGAGGCAGGCAGGCAUGUUGAAACAGAUGGCCUUACCAGCAGCAGUGGAGGAGCUCUGGUUAAGCAGUCGGCAAGUGAGACAGAGGAGAGUGAGGGAGGUGUGAGAAGACUUGGACAUAGCUAGAAAGAAAAUAAGCAGAGUUGGACCUCCCCCCUUUUCUCACAACGUUUCCUUUGCGGACAGGAAGGCCCGAGGAACUGACAACUUUCCUUGUUCUCCUCAGGGGAUCAACGAGAGAACACCUGCCGCCAGAGAGGAGGUUUCCUAGGGAAGAGACACACCAGCAUUCAAAGGUGAUUGUUUGUGUUUGCGUAGCAUCGGCUUCCUCAGUUGUGAAGCAAACAUUGGAGGUUUUUCGUAGGCAACAAUGCUCGGACUCCUCUUCUUCCUGCUGGCAUCUGUGACGUGUGGACAUGCUCACUCCCUGACCGGUGGUCAGCGCUUGAAGACCCGCCUCCAGAGAGACAGGCGGAACAUCCGUCCAAACAUCAUCCUGGUCCUCACGGAUGACCAGGACCUGGAGCUGGGUUCAAUGCAGGCAAUGAAUAAGACACGUCGCAUCAUGGAGGAGGGUGGGACUUCUUUUUCCAACGCGUUUGUGACGACGCCCAUGUGCUGUCCGUCACGUUCAAGCAUGCUCACUGGGAAGUAUGUUCACAAUCAUAACACAUACACCAAUAAUGAGAACUGUUCGUCGAUUUCUUGGCAGCGGCUGCAGGAACCACGAACCUUCGCAGUCUACUUGAACAAUACAGGCUACAGGACGGCCUUCUUCGGUAAGUACCUGAACGAGUACAAUGGCUCUUACGUGCCCGCCGGAUGGAAGGAGUGGCUUGGCCUUGUCAAGAACAGUCGAUUCUACAACUACACGCUGAGUCGUAACGGACUCAGAGAGAAACACGGAGCACAGUACCCUCAGGACUAUUUAACAGACGUGAUCACAGCAGAGGCCAUACAUUACUUCUGCUCGUCAAAGCGAGUUUAUCCUCAUCGUCCUGUCAUGAUGGUUCUGAGUCAUGCUGCACCACACGGACCUGAGGACUCAGCACCACAGUACAGCCAUGCCUUUCCCAAUGCAUCGCAACACAUUACUCCUAGUUACAACUAUGCUCCCAACCCAGAUAAGCACUGGAUCAUGCGUUACACAGGCGCUAUGAAACCUAUACACAUGGAGUUCACCAAUAUGCUGCAGAGGAAACGACUGCAGACACUGCUGUCAGUUGAUGACAGCAUGGAGAAGCUGUACAACAUGUUGGUGAAGACAAACGAGUUGGAGAACACCUACAUCAUCUACACAUCUGAUCAUGGCUACCACAUUGGACAGUUUGGCCUCGUCAAAGGAAAAUCCAUGCCUUAUGAUUUUGAUAUCCGAGUCCCUUUUUAUAUCCGAGGACCCAACGUGGCACAAGACAGCAUCAACCCCCACAUUGUCCUCAACAUUGACCUGGCACCCACCAUCCUGGACAUCGCUGGCCUGGACACGCCCGCCGACAUGGAUGGCAAGUCCAUCCUGGGCCUGCUGGAUACUGAUUCACCUGCCAACAGGUUCCAGGUGACAAGGAAGUCAAAAGUGUGGCGAGACUCCUUUCUGGUGGAAAGAGGGUAAAUACUGAAGGCCCUGUCCACAUACGACAUCACCACCAGUGUGAGCCAAUGAAAGCUACUGCAUCAACGUAUGGAGAUGAAGGAUGUAUCGCAGGAGGAGAACUUCCUGCCAAAAUAUCAGCAGGUCACAGAGUUGUGUCAGCGCUCCGAGUAUCAGACGCCAUGUCAACAAAUCGGACAG